Triticum urartu is the source of this 1230-nucleotide non-coding RNA. Lineage: Eukaryota; Viridiplantae; Streptophyta; Magnoliopsida; Poales; Poaceae. The record is from RefSeq and is a predicted model, not a curated record.
CAAAGCAAAAAAAAGAAAAACAAAAAGGAAACCAAAUAGGAAAAAAAACAAACCAAACAAGGAUGUGUGUGCAGCGAAUGGCAACAGAUAAAUGGGUCGGCCCGCUAGGCGUUGCCCGUAGGCGGUUUCUAUUAGAAGACGGUUGUGUGUAGCCUUGGCGUCAAUGGACUGUCCUUUUUGGAUUUUUACAUCGCCCGCUAGGAAAACAACUCGCUCGCGCCCCAGUGGGCCAGCAAGUGGCGUGACUGUGCGUGACACUCCUAUGCGAUGCAAGGGCCCCUAAAAAUGAACAACGUUUCGAGCCGGAGCACCGACUGAAACUUCGGCCGGCCUUGCCAGUCUCGUCCGAUCUGGGACGACUGAACGUCCCCAUUUUCUCCUGGCCCACACACCGACCGACUCCCUCGGCCUUAUCUUCUUCCUCCCGCAUCGUUCCUCCUUUCUUUUUCCCCAUCUCUAAUCCCUCGCGGGACGCGACCAUGCACGCACUGCUUUGGACCACCACCUCCUCCUCCCCAUCCGCCCACCCGGUUUUGCUGGAACCAGCAAGAAUUUUUGCUACCACCGACCGAGGCAGGAGCUGGUACCAACACAUGUUUCUGCUACAACCGGUGAAGCCCAAGCUGGAACCAGUAGAGCUUUUUGCUACAACCGGCGGGACCCUGAGCUGGGACCAGCAAGUGUUUUUGCUACAUCGACUGGGGAGUUUCUACGGCCGCGACGCGACUUUUUUUUUUGCUUAACGGGUGUUGGAACCAGCACCGACGCCGGUGCUGCAACCGUCAUCGGUGGAAGCUUCUUCGUGGCGAGCUGCGACCUCGUGCCGCAACCCUCAAAUGUUUCCUCAUGGGGAAAAGUUACAACCGGCCAUGGCAAGCUGCGACCUCGCGCACAGCGCUAUAGUUGGCGGGGCAGGGGGAGGGGGGCUGGAGAGCUGCGCCGGCGGGCGGCGACGACAAGCUGCAAGCGGGAGGCUACGCGGGGCGUGCAAGCAGGGGAGGAAGGAAUUGCAUCGAGGAAAAAAAUUGUACAUGAGAGCUAGGCAGCGGCUUAAUCGGAUAGUUAAGCACACACGUAUCGUGUGGGUGCACGACGACAGGCCGAAAUUUGAACCGGCGCGCCGCCUCCUAGCACUGGCCUAAAAAACUUCCUAUAUGACGCAUGGUCCCUGCUCACAGGGCAUUUUCAGUCUUACGGAGCGGGUUGAUCGCGCGCGCAAGCACGCCCUAA